UGCAGGCCAGAUUUGGCCCAUGGGGUGGUUAGAUCUGGCCCAUAGGGCUGCCCCAGAAACAGUAAAGGACUGGCCCAUGGUGCCUCUGCCAGAGAAAACA
Molecule: small nucleolar RNA, 100 nt
Filed under: Laticauda laticaudata (blue-ringed sea krait)
Lineage: Eukaryota; Metazoa; Chordata; Lepidosauria; Squamata; Elapidae
Description: Small nucleolar RNA SNORA5 (ENSLLTG00000017564.1)
Rfam family: Small nucleolar RNA SNORA5
About the family: ACA5 is a member of the H/ACA class of snoRNA that guide the sites of modification of uridines to pseudouridines.
Source: Rfam by way of RNAcentral